UGCCAGCCUAUCUCAACGGGGGAGAAAAGCGGAGUCAUUAACCGCCUGGCUGGCUAAUCUUUCUUGAUU
Molecule: non-coding RNA, 69 nt
Filed under: unclassified sequences
Description: int-alpA RNA
Rfam family: int-alpA RNA
About the family: Acidobacteria (1 example), Planctomycetes (1 example), Proteobacteria. Environment (Lake Washington)
Source: Rfam by way of RNAcentral